GUGGGAUUAGCUCAGCUGGUUAGAGCGCCAGGUUGUGGCCCUGGAGGUCAUGGGUUCGAACCCCACAUCUCACCCCA
This 77-nucleotide transfer RNA is filed under the name Clostridiales bacterium. Its description in RNAcentral is "tRNA-His". It matches the Rfam family "tRNA". From Rfam's summary of the family: Transfer RNA (tRNA) molecules are approximately 80 nucleotides in length. Their secondary structure includes four short double-helical elements and three loops (D, anti-codon, and T loops). The record is from RNAcentral. Lineage: Bacteria; Bacillati; Bacillota; Clostridia; Eubacteriales. RNAcentral also lists the same sequence under 1 other name.